Molecule: ribosomal RNA, 405 nt
Filed under: uncultured bacterium
Lineage: Bacteria
Description: partial 16S ribosomal RNA
Rfam family: Bacterial small subunit ribosomal RNA
Source: RNAcentral
GACGAACGCUGGCGGCGUGCUUAACACAUGCAAGUCGAACGAGUGGCGAACGGGGGAGUAACACGUGGGUGACCUGCCCUGCAAUUCGGGAUAAGCCUGGGAAACUGGGUCUAAUACCGGAUAGUGUGGGAUGGGCCCGAGGCAUAUCAGCUUGUUGGUGGGGGAAUGGCUACCAAGGCGCGACGGGUAGCCGGCCUGCGAGGGUGGACGGCCACAUUGGGACUGAGACACGGCCCAGACUCCUACGGGAGGCAGCAGUGGGGAAUAUUGCACAAUGGGCGGAAGCCUGAUGCAGCGACGCCGCGUGGGGGAUGACGGCCUUCGGGUUUUAAAGUACUUUCAGUUGGGAGGCGUUACCAACAGAAUAAGCACCGGCUAACUUCGUGCCAGCAGCCGCGGUAAUAC